Molecule: ribosomal RNA, 543 nt
Filed under: Fusobacterium gastrosuis
Lineage: Bacteria; Fusobacteriati; Fusobacteriota; Fusobacteriia; Fusobacteriales; Fusobacteriaceae
Description: bacterial SSU rRNA
Rfam family: Bacterial small subunit ribosomal RNA
Source: RNAcentral
GAUCCUGGCUCAGGAUGAACGCUGACAGAAUGCUUAACACAUGCAAGUCUACUUGAACUUCGGUUUGGGUGGCGGACGGGUGAGUAACGCGUAAAGAACUUGCCUCACAGACUGGGACAACAUUUGGAAACGAAUGCUAAUACCGGAUAUUAUGAGAAUGCGCAUGCAUAACUAUGAAAGCUAUAUGCGCUGUGAGAGAGCUUUGCGUCCCAUUAGCUAGUUGGAGAGGUAACGGCUCACCAAGGCGAUGAUGGGUAGCCGGCCUGAGAGGGUGAACGGCCACAAGGGGACUGAGACACGGCCCUUACUCCUACGGGAGGCAGCAGUGGGGAAUAUUGGACAAUGGACCAAGAGUCUGAUCCAGCAUUCUGUGUGCACGAUGAAGUUUUUCGGAAUGUAAAGUGCUUUCAGUUGGGAAGAAGAAAGUGACGGUACCAACAGAAGAAGCGACGGCUAACUACGUGCCAGCAGCCGCGGUAAUACGUAUGUCGCAAGCGUUAUCCGGAUUUAUUGGGCGUAAAGCGCGUCUAGGCGGCAUAGUAA